GCUCAGAAACUUAAAGGAUUGACGGGGGCCCGCACAAGCGGUGGAGCAUGUGGUUUAAUUCGAUGAUACGCGAGGAACCUUACCUGGGCUCAAAUGUAUGUUGACGUAUUCUGAAAGGGAUACUUCUUCGGACAAUAUACAAGGUGCUGCAUGGUUGUCGUCAGCUCGUGCCGUGAGGUGUCGGGUUAAGUCCCCAUAACGAGCGCAACCCCUAUCAUUAGUUGCCAUCAGGUCAAGCUGGGGACUCUAAUGAAACUGCCUACGCAAGUAGUGAGGAAGGCGGGGAUGACGUCAAAUCAGCACGGCCCUUACGUCCAGGGCUACACACGUGCUACAAUGGCCGAUACAGAGGGCAGCUACCUGGUGACAGGAUGCAAAUCUCCAAAGUCGGUCUCAGUUCGGAUCGGAGUCUGCAACCCGACUCCGUGAAGUUGGAUUCGCUAGUAAUCGCGCAUCAGCCAUGGCGCGGUGAAUACGUUCCCGGGCCUU
This 489-nucleotide ribosomal RNA is filed under the name uncultured Sphingobacteriales bacterium. RNAcentral's name for it is "bacterial SSU rRNA". It matches the Rfam family "Bacterial small subunit ribosomal RNA", at positions 891 to 1382 of the family's 1533-position model. The record is from RNAcentral. Lineage: Bacteria; Pseudomonadati; Bacteroidota; Sphingobacteriia; Sphingobacteriales.